Molecule: ribosomal RNA, 468 nt
Filed under: uncultured bacterium
Lineage: Bacteria
Description: partial 16S ribosomal RNA
Rfam family: Bacterial small subunit ribosomal RNA
Source: RNAcentral
GACGAACGCUGGCGGCGUGCUUAACACAUGCGAGUCGAACGGAAAGGCCCUGCUUUUGUGGGGUGCUCGAGUGGCGAACGGGUGAGUAACACGUGAGUAACCUGCCCUUGACUUUGGGAUAACUUCAGGAAACUGGGGCUAAUACCGGAUAGGAGCUCCCGCUGCAUGGUGGGGGUUGGAAAGUUUCGGCGGUUGGGGAUGGACUCGCGGCUUAUCAGCUUGUUGGUGGGGUAGUGGCUUACCAAGGCUUUGACGGGUAGCCGGCCUGAGAGGGUGACCGGCCACAUUGGGACUGAGAUACGGCCCAGACUCCUACGGGAGGCAGCAGUGGGGAAUAUUGCACAAUGGGCGGAAGCCUGAUGCAGCAACGCCGCGUGCGGGAUGACGGCCUUCGGGUUGUAAACCGCUUUCGCCUGUGACGAAGCGUGAGUGACGGUAAUGGGUAAAGAAGCACCGGCUAACUACGUG